Molecule: non-coding RNA, 30 nt
Filed under: Rattus norvegicus (Norway rat)
Lineage: Eukaryota; Metazoa; Chordata; Mammalia; Rodentia; Muridae
Source: RNAcentral
UGCCAUGACUUCAUUGAAUUUGGGCAUCAC